This 956-nucleotide long non-coding RNA is filed under the name Macaca nemestrina (pig-tailed macaque). RNAcentral describes it as "lncRNA (ENSMNEG00000045592.1)". Lineage: Eukaryota; Metazoa; Chordata; Mammalia; Primates; Cercopithecidae. The record is from RNAcentral.
CAUGCAGAGUGUGGAGGCAAAUUCCUCUCUGAAUUCCUAGUGAGUGCAGUCCAAGUGCUGGAGGGUGAGGAUGAGAAGUUGGGUUAGAAUCUGGAGGAGGGGACAACUUAUCCCAGCCAGCAAAGGCAAUGGGAAACAGGCAGAACCUGUAGCCCAGUUCAUCUCUGUGGUCACCUGCAUGGCACCAGGAAAACAGACUUUGGCUUCUUUAUUUCCAUUAAACCCCAGAGUUUGGAAAAGCAGACCCUCAGACUCCACAGCAGAGCUCCAGAAUGCUGCCCCAGGUUGGACUGGAUGCACUUCCUUUGCCAAAGCUUCUGUGGUGGUCCUGAUGCACUCCCGUGGUCAAGGGUCACCCACCUGAAGACCUGCACCCUUCCACAUCCGCUGAGCAUGAAUCUCCAUGAGAGCAGGACUCCACUGAAGCAGAAAUCCAGAGCCAAGAAAGACACAGGGUUUCCGGGGAUGGCAUUAGCCCAGGGCCCUGUUCAUUGUUUUGUGGAUGUGGAAACCAAAGCCAGAAGGACAGGUGACUUGCUCAGGGGCAUCCAGUCCAGGAGAUCACAUGGCACCUGUACCUUCUUACAGAAUCCUGUGCAAAGGAAGUCAGCCCUGAUGGGUUUCAGCCUGGUAAGUCCUUCCUGCCGCUGAACCACCUGUCUCCCGAGAGGACCUACAGCCAACGCCUCCCACACCAGAUGGCCACCCCCUCCUGCCCCUCCGUAGUGUUCCAGCCAAGGCCAGGCCCGGCAUGGACAGAAGAGGACCUGAGUGGCUGCGGCCAAGGUCAAAGUGGCCAUCUGGACACAGGUAUCAGCAGUGUGGAGGGGCUGCCCCAGAAAUGACUUUAGCGGGGGAGAUGUUUCUCAGGCAUUCAGCUCUUGGUUUUCUAUUGGUCUCCCUUCAAAAUUGCCCCAGCAGGUAGGCAGAGCACCUGAUGGAUGCCUUCAGCAGCA